Acanthosepion pharaonis is the source of this 87-nucleotide non-coding RNA. NCBI's taxonomy places the organism in Eukaryota, Metazoa, Mollusca, Cephalopoda, Sepiida, Sepiidae. The record is from the annotation of a GenBank genome assembly.
AUACACAGGUUCUCGUACGAUCACUGAAGUUAAGCAACGUCGAGCCUGUUCAGUACCUAGAUGAGUGACCGUUUUGGAAUACCAGGU